CUCAACCUCGGCGGCACUAAAGACUCCUCCACAAGAACACAAUCCCUCAAAGUAGACAAAACAAAAACGACAGUCUCAUCGUCGUCGUUCUCCAAUCCACGAAGCACACCGGAAUACAUCUCCCUCUGCUGCAAAAUCCAACGCAACAAUCCCGGUUUUCCAACCUCCAAAAACGACAUUGCAAAUCCAACAAACGACUUCCUCAACAAAACCUCACUCUUCCCUUCAUUUGUUCCCUUCCUCCUCUUCGCCAACGCCACGAACCCAGCCACCUUGAAAUCAAAUAUCUUUGCCACCUCCGAAGCUAAACUCGGUCCACGCCGAACAAUUGAAGCCGCGAGCAACAACGCCGCUUUCUGACGCUUCAAUUCCUUACUAUUCAACUCCUUAUAUAAAUCAUUCAAAUAUUCCGCAAGAAUCAAACGUGCGAAUUUAUCCAAAUCCCUAGCAACACACGCACUCUCACCAUCGUUGAAACCUUGUUUGUGAUAUUUGUGAAGUUUCUGUUUACCGUCACAAUGACUGAG
Molecule: long non-coding RNA, 527 nt
Filed under: Cicer arietinum (chickpea)
Lineage: Eukaryota; Viridiplantae; Streptophyta; Magnoliopsida; Fabales; Fabaceae
Description: long non-coding RNA (CARI_LNC000124)
Source: RNAcentral